GAGGGUGAUCGGCCACAUUGGAACUGAGACACGGUCCAAACUCCUACGGGAGGCAGCAGUGGGGAAUAUUGCACAAUGGGCGAAAGCCUGAUGCAGCAACGCCGCGUGAGUGAUGAAGGCCUGCGGGUCGUAAAACUCUGUCCUCAAGGAAGAUAAUGACGGUACUUGAGGAGGAAGCCCCGGCUAACUACGUGCCAGCAGCCGCGGUAAUACGUAGGGGGCUAGCGUUAUCCGGAUUUACUGGGCGUAAAGGGUGCGUAGGCGGUCUUUCAAGUCAGGAGUGAAAGGCUACGGCUCAACCGUAGUAAGCUCUUGAAACUGGGAGACUUGAGUGCAGGAGAGGAGAGUGGAAUUCCUAG
This 359-nucleotide ribosomal RNA is filed under the name Clostridioides difficile. Its description in RNAcentral is "bacterial SSU rRNA". It matches the Rfam family "Bacterial small subunit ribosomal RNA", at positions 296 to 673 of the family's 1533-position model. The record is from RNAcentral. Lineage: Bacteria; Bacillati; Bacillota; Clostridia; Peptostreptococcales; Peptostreptococcaceae.